UUGUCUGAAUGUUGAUAACCAAUUUACUAUCAUGAUUUGGACACAUCAGUAGAUAAUUAAAUAAAUGUGAAUGUGAUUGCUACUAAAAAUACAGUCUAGACAGAGCUUUAUGCAAACAUGGAUGAUGGCUGCAUAAUCAUGAUUUAUGAUUCUCUUUGUAGGUAUGGUGUGCGUGCUCUUUUAAAAAAUAUCUGUUUUUGCACCAAAGGACUAGGCCUUACGAGCAGAUGGAAGGGCUCCAGGAAAGACAACAUCUGUUGCUUGUAGGCUUUGUUAGAGCAUCUCCAGCCGCGUCCCCCAAAGCGUCCCCCAAAAGGAUUUGGGGGACGCCGGCCAAAAAAACGUCCCAGUCGUAUGCCCCAAAGGCCGCUUCGCUCCGGACGUCCCUCAAAUAUUGUCCGGCGUCCCUAGCCUAUCCCCUGUGUAUAGAGGCUUCAUCGGGGACGCCGGACACGAUUUUUACACUUGCUUUUUGUUUGGAGGUCGCGUUUGGGGGACGUGGCUAGGAAAGAGACCUCCUCCAAACGAAAAUUUCGUCCGGACGUCCUCCAAACGAAAAUUCAGCACUAUUGCCGAACGUCGUUUGGGGGAUGCGACUGAAGAUGCUCUUAGGCAGGCAAGAUGUCAGAUCACGUAUAACAGCGGGGCAUGCACGAAACAUAUGAGUGGGUGCAUAAUCCAGAGGGGCAAUGUGUUCCAUAGGGAUACCAGAGGUUAAGAGAGCUGAUUGAUGAGGAGGUUGGAGCAAGGAAACAGGACGCCUUGAUCCAAGCGAUCUUGGAGAUGAAUGUGCCUCUUGGUGAGGCCAGUCUGAAUGAGGAACACAAAGCAACUAUCCUAGAUGAUAUUAUGGAAGGUGUGGGGGCACAGAAAAAAGAACUGCUGCAGAAACUUGUGGCGUGUUUAUACCCAUCUAGAGCUGAUGGUGAUACACGAGAUGUUCAUGCCGGAUUGGGAUCAUCAGGGCAGAGAGAGGGGCAACGAAUGCUGCAGGUAGCAGCAGGGCUGCUGCAAGGCCAGGAUGUUCGGCUAAUUUGCAGUCAGACAAAAGGAAGCAGCCAAUGGAGGAGGCAGAAGAACAUGUUUGCAUGCGUGGUGAACAUGACGCAGAUGAAGUGAUCCUAGGAUAAGAUGAUUAGUUGAUUACAGCUUCAUUCUACUAGGAUGUUCAAAAAACCAUCAAGCGCUGGUGGCGAUGGCUGCCAAUGCAAACGCAGGGGUUCCGGCUAUGAUCGUCGAUGUUGUCGUGGCCACCGCCGUAGCCAUGGCUCGGGUAGCCCACGUCACCCCGCUCUGCGCCGUGGGUCAAACCCCGAAGUGCCGAUGGGUCUCGUAGAUUGGGAGGGAGAAAUCGGCAGCGAUGGAUCUCAUCGUUCCACGCGAGGGCACCAACCGUGAGUUGAGCAGCCAACCUCCGGGCAGGUUGACGUUCGUCCACGGCACUGGGAGCUCUUCCUCGUACAACUUGCGAUCAUAGCCAAUGGGGACGUAACGUUGGUCCCUCUCCUUCCAGCGGCUUCCGCGCAAUGAGCCCGCCUCGUGGUCGUUGUUCGUCCUCCAAAAUGGCUAGGACUUGCCCAUGGUGGCGCUUGGUCUAUAGUCUGUGGAGGUGAACAUGGGGGAGGUGGCAAUGGCAGGGAUGAAAAUGUGCGCGGUCACUCGCCUCAGAAAGCAUGGGUGCACGCCUCCCCUUCGAUGCCUGACACGGAAGCCCAACGCCGCCCACUAGCAAUAGCGCAUAGAAGCCGAAGUGAGGACCACUAACGCGGCGUGAAGGACACAUCAACGCUGCCCGCCAGUACUUUGCGUGAAGAAGGUGAAGUGGGCACGGAGCACUGAUAGGUGGGCUCACGGAAAAUGACACUAACACGCGCAGUCACUACCAUGUCUGCAGCCGUGUCCGCGGUGACGGAUUCGCAGACUAAAUUUAGGUUUAGGGCAUCUCCAGCGGCGCGACGCAAACGGACGAUCGU
Lolium perenne is the source of this 1973-nucleotide long non-coding RNA. RefSeq lists it as uncharacterized. Lineage: Eukaryota; Viridiplantae; Streptophyta; Magnoliopsida; Poales; Poaceae. The record is from RefSeq and is a predicted model, not a curated record.